RNAcentral lists this small RNA (263 nucleotides) under Dipodomys ordii (Ord's kangaroo rat). RNAcentral describes it as "7SK RNA (ENSDORG00000022177.2)". The stretch from base 9 to 90 matches the Rfam family "7SK RNA", at positions 12 to 95 of the family's 331-position model. Lineage: Eukaryota; Metazoa; Chordata; Mammalia; Rodentia; Heteromyidae. The record is from RNAcentral.
UAUGAGGGCAAUCUGGCUAUAAUAUGUUACCUCAUUGAUUGCCAGUGGUGAUUCAGCUGAUCUGUCUGGCUAGGCAGGUAUCUCCUUCCUGAUAGAGGAACUGUUCUUCUCAAAGGUAUACCUCCAUCCAAACUUUCAAGAGAGGCUGAAGAAGGUAUAGGUCAGUGAUAAGAGUUCAAGCUUAUCUUGUGUGAUGUCCUGAGUUCCAUUCCCAGCACUGCCCAAAAGACAGUUUAAAGAGCCUACUGAGCCAGGCACCGGUG